AAGUCGUAACAAGGUAACCGUAGGUGAACCUGCGGUUGGAUCAUUAAUAAAGAUUUGGUCUAGUGCCAAAUUAACAACUGUGUGCACCAUUGUCUGUCCUUGGUAGUUCGAGUGCGCUCCUGAGCUCAACACUCUGGGGCUGCCUACUCUGGCCUAGUGCUGGGGUUGGACUGCCGCCUUUAUGAAAAAACUUUUUUGUUUUAAUUUUUUUGUCUGAACGAAGAGUUAAUCUUUUUGAUUAAUGAUUUGAAUACAACUUUUGACAACGGAUCUCUUGGCUCUC
RNAcentral lists this unclassified non-coding RNA (283 nucleotides) under Rhizophlyctis rosea. RNAcentral describes it as "partial internal transcribed spacer region". The stretch from base 1 to 46 matches the Rfam family "Eukaryotic small subunit ribosomal RNA", at positions 1786 to 1831 of the family's 1831-position model. The record is from RNAcentral. Lineage: Eukaryota; Fungi; Chytridiomycota; Chytridiomycetes; Rhizophlyctidales; Rhizophlyctidaceae.